Molecule: ribosomal RNA, 459 nt
Filed under: uncultured bacterium
Lineage: Bacteria
Description: partial 16S ribosomal RNA
Rfam family: Bacterial small subunit ribosomal RNA
Source: RNAcentral
CCUACGGGAGACAGCAGUGAGGAAUAUUGGUCAAUGGGCGCAAUCCUGAACCAGCCAAGCCGCGUGCGGGACGACGGUUCUAUGAAUUGUAAACUUCUUUUGUCGGGGAGCAAAAGACGCCACGCGUGGCGUUCCGAGAGUACCCGAAGAAAAAGCAUCGGCUAACUCCGUGCCAGCAGCCGCGGUAAUACGGAGGAUGCGAGCGUUAUCCGGAUUUAUUGGGUUUAAGGGGUGCGCAGGUGGAAGAUCAAGUCAGCGGUAAAAUCUCGAGGCUCAAACUCGUCGAGCCGUUGAAACUGGUUUACUAGAGUGCGCGAGAAGUAGGCGGAAUGCGUGGUGUAGCGGUGAAAUGCAUAGAUAUCACGCAGAACACCGAUUGCGAAGGCAGCAUACCGGCGCUCAACUGACGCUGAUGCACGAAAGUGUGGGGAUCGAACAGGAUUAGAUACCCCUGUAGUC